CCCGGAAGUAGCAGUCUUGGCCACAACCGCAGUGUUGGAACCACUCGAGGGAGGAUGAGGGGCACAACGGAGGAAGCGGCGCCCGACCAGAUAUCCGAGCUGCAAGCCCCUGAACCGCAGCCUCCACAGAGGAGAUCCCGACCCUGUAGGCCUAGAACAUCUCCUCAGAUGAAGUAUGUCGUAUCAGGAGUUUUUGCAAUAGGAGCAGAGAAGACACAUUCUCCAAAAUUGGUAAGAAUUAUUGAAGCAACUUGAAAAAUAAAAAUUUUGCUUGUCAAAAACAAGGAUAUAAAUAAGGAGGGUAUAUCAUUGCCUCUUAAGCAGUAGAAAUGUAUUCAAAAUACUGAAAUCUAA
This 354-nucleotide long non-coding RNA is filed under the name Suricata suricatta (meerkat). Its description in RNAcentral is "lncRNA (ENSSSUG00005012390.1)". The record is from RNAcentral. Lineage: Eukaryota; Metazoa; Chordata; Mammalia; Carnivora; Herpestidae.